AUUGAACGCUGGCGGCAGGCCUAACACAUGCAAGUCGAGCGAGCGGCGGACGGGUGAGUAAUGUCUGGGAAACUGCCUGAUGGAGGGGGAUAACUACUGGAAACGGUAGCUAAUACCGCAUACCAUCAGAUGUGCCCAGAUGGGAUUUGCUAGUGGGUGGGGUAACGGCUCACCUAGGCGACGAUCCCUAGCUGGUCUGAGAGGAUGACCAGCCACACUGGGACUGAGACACGGUCCAGACUCCUACGGGAGGCAGCAGUGGGGAAUAUUGCACAAUGGGCGCAAGCCUGAUCCAGCCAUGCCGCGUGUCUGAAGAAGGCCUUCGGGUUGUAAAGCACUUUUAGCGGGGAGGCGGUACCUGAAGAAGAAGCACCGGCUAACUCCGUGCCAGCAGCCGCGGUAAUAC
RNAcentral lists this ribosomal RNA (406 nucleotides) under uncultured bacterium. RNAcentral's name for it is "partial 16S ribosomal RNA". It matches the Rfam family "Bacterial small subunit ribosomal RNA", at positions 30 to 526 of the family's 1533-position model. The record is from RNAcentral.